This 926-nucleotide ribosomal RNA is filed under the name Enterococcus faecalis. Its description in RNAcentral is "bacterial SSU rRNA". It matches the Rfam family "Bacterial small subunit ribosomal RNA", at positions 40 to 936 of the family's 1533-position model. Lineage: Bacteria; Bacillati; Bacillota; Bacilli; Lactobacillales; Enterococcaceae. The record is from RNAcentral.
CGGCGUGCCUAAUACAUGCAAGUCGAACGCUUCUUUCCUCCCGAGUGCUUGCACUCAAUUGGAAAGAGGAGUGGCGGACGGGUGAGUAACACGUGGGUAACCUACCCAUCAGAGGGGGAUAACACUUGGAAACAGGUGCUAAUACCGCAUAACAGUUUAUGCCGCAUGGCAUAAGAGUGAAAGGCGCUUUCGGGUGUCGCUGAUGGAUGGACCCGCGGUGCAUUAGCUAGUUGGUGAGGUAACGGCUCACCAAGGCCACGAUGCAUAGCCGACCUGAGAGGGUGAUCGGCCACACUGGGACUGAGACACGGCCCAGACUCCUACGGGAGGCAGCAGUAGGGAAUCUUCGGCAAUGGACGAAAGUCUGACCGAGCAACGCCGCGUGAGUGAAGAAGGUUUUCGGAUCGUAAAAUUCUGUUGUUAGAGAAGAACAAGGACGUUAGUAACUGAACGUCCCCUGACGGUAUCUAACCAGAAAGCCACGGCUAACUACGUGCCAGCAGCCGCGGUAAUACGUAGGUGGCAAGCGUUGUCCGGAUUUAUUGGGCGUAAAGCGAGCGCAGGCGGUUUCUUAAGUCUGAUGUGAAAGCCCCCGGCUCAACCGGGGAGGGUCAUUGGAAACUGGGAGACUUGAGUGCAGAAGAGGAGAGUGGAAUUCCAUGUGUAGCGGUGAAAUGCGUAGAUAUAUGGAGGAACACCAGUGGCGAAGGCGGCUCUCUGGUCUGUAACUGACGCUGAGGCUCGAAAGCGUGGGGAGCAAACAGGAUUAGAUACCCUGGUAGUCCACGCCGUAAACGAUGAGUGCUAAGUGUUGGAGGGUUUCCGCCCUUCAGUGCUGCAGCAAACGCAUUAAGCACUCCGCCUGGGGAGUACGACCGCAAGGUUGAAACUCAAAGGAAUUGACGGGGGCCCGCACAAGCGGUGGA